CAUAGCGACUAUCGUGGCAUAUCAAUAAGCGGAGGAAAAGAAACUAACAAGGAUUCCCUUAGUAACGGCGAGUGAAGCGGGAAGAGCUCAAAUUUGAAAUCUUCAAGGUUUACCUUGACGAAUUGUAGUUUAUAGAAGUGUUUUCUGUUAGUAGAGUGGCAAAAGUUCUUUGGAAUAGGACAUCAUAGAGGGUGAGAAUCCCGUAUUUGGUCAUUCUUUCUAGCUUUGUGAUACACUUUCAACGAGUCGGAUUGUUUGGGAAUGCAGUCCAAAAUGGGUGGUAAAUUUCAUCUAAAGCUAAAUAUUGGCGAGAGACCGAUAGCGAACAAGUACCGUGAGGGAAAGAUGAAAAGAACUUUGAAAAGAGAGUUAAACAGUACGUGAAAUUGUCAAAAGGGAAGCGUUUGACACCAGUGUUGUUUUCUCGAAAAUCAAUUAAAAAUGAUGGGAUUUUGUGUUGUAUUGACUUUAUCAGCUUUCUGCACUUUUUUCUUAUCUUUUUUAAUGCACUUUUCGUUUAACAAGUCAACAUCAAUUUCUUUUGUUGUAAAAGAGUCAUUGGAAGGUGGCUUUUUCUUCGGAAAAAGUGUUUAUAGCCUUUGGCUUCUGCAAUCGGAGAGAUUGAGGUCUGCAGCGUAGAUCCUUCGGGGUUAGAUACAUUUGUGCUAAGCUAUAGUUCUUUAUAGACAACUUGUUGACUAUAUCUAGUCCUGUAGCUUACUCGCUUAUGCUAUUUUACCUACGCUUAGGAUGUUGAUAUGCAUGACUGAUAU
Molecule: ribosomal RNA, 773 nt
Filed under: uncultured Neocallimastigales
Lineage: Eukaryota; Fungi; Neocallimastigomycota; Neocallimastigomycetes; Neocallimastigales
Description: partial large subunit ribosomal RNA
Rfam family: Eukaryotic large subunit ribosomal RNA (bases 5-692)
Source: RNAcentral